GCCGGCGUGGCGAAAUGGCAGACGCGGCGGACUCAAAAUCCGCUCUCCGCAAGGUGGUGUCGGUUCGACUCCGACCGCCGGCACCA
Molecule: transfer RNA, 86 nt
Filed under: Deltaproteobacteria bacterium
Lineage: Bacteria; Pseudomonadati; Myxococcota; Myxococcia
Description: tRNA-Leu
Rfam family: tRNA
About the family: Transfer RNA (tRNA) molecules are approximately 80 nucleotides in length.
Source: RNAcentral